This 506-nucleotide ribosomal RNA is filed under the name uncultured bacterium. RNAcentral describes it as "partial 16S ribosomal RNA". It matches the Rfam family "Bacterial small subunit ribosomal RNA", at positions 29 to 523 of the family's 1533-position model. The record is from RNAcentral.
AGUGAACGCUGGCGGUAGGCCUAACACAUGCAAGUCGAACGGCAGCACAGGAGAGCUUGCUCUCUGGGUGGCGAGUGGCGGACGGGUGAGGAAUACAUCGGAAUCUACUUUUUCGUGGGGGAUAACGUAGGGAAACUUACGCUAAUACCGCAUACGACCUACGGGUGAAAGCAGGGGACCUUCGGGCCUUGCGCGAUUGAAUGAGCCGAUGUCGGAUUAGCUAGUUGGCGGGGUAAAGGCCCACCAAGGCGACGAUCCGUAGCUGGUCUGAGAGGAUGAUCGGCCACACGUGAACUGAGACACGGUCCAGACUCCUACGGGAGGCAGCAGUGGGGAAUAUUGGACAAUGGGCGCAAGCCUGAUCCAGCCAUACCGCGUGGGUGAAGAAGGCCUUCGGGUUGUAAAGCCCUUUCGUUGGGAAAGAAAUCCAGCUGGCUAAUACCCGGUUGGGAUGACGGUACCCAAAGAAUAAGCACCGGCUAACUUCGUACCAGCCGCCGCCGUAA